UAUACUGAAUGUCGUGAUUUCAAUUUUUUCAAUGAAUAGAAGGGGACGUGUCUGUACAAGUUUAGGAUUGCAUACCUGCAUAUUUACGUAUAUCUGAUGUCAUGACGUUUGAUCAUAUGAUAGUUGAAGGAUGAUCAAUUAACUUUCAGACCAAUUGAAAGUGCGGUGUAGUAGUUGAUACUAAAUAUCUUCAGGAAAAUAUAUAUUCUUUCAAACUGUACUAGGUAACAGAAGGGAUUAAGCUUGAAAUUACAAUUAUGCAAAAGGAUAUUAAGACUAAUGCUAGUAAAUCCCGAGCCGAUCAGGUGAACCGGCUGAAAACUGAGCUUUCCAGUGAGAGAGAAAAAUGUGAGCGCCUUGAAGCUGAUUUGUCCC
Non-coding RNA from Paramuricea clavata, 375 nucleotides. Lineage: Eukaryota; Metazoa; Cnidaria; Anthozoa; Malacalcyonacea; Plexauridae. The record is from the annotation of a GenBank genome assembly.